GCAUAAGGGGAACAGUUGCUAGUCACACAAAAACGCUGAAUUACAUAAGCAUGCCAGCGGACAUCGGGGAUCCGGGGUCCAUCAUCGAGAUAUCGAGUUUAUUCGUGGGGGCGUAUGCAUGGUCCCUAUAUAAGCAUGGAGGCAACGUGUACUGUGGUGCCGGGUGCGCAACGUAAUGACGAAAAAUAGGAUGCAUCAUGCAUGGGGUAAUAACAAAAAAAAAAUCGCCAACAACCGGUGAAUUAAUCUGCCUUUUAUUUGUUUGAGAUUAAAAAAAGAAAAGAAAACUAAACGACAACAAUAAUAAUCC
This 310-nucleotide long non-coding RNA is filed under the name Sorghum bicolor (sorghum). RNAcentral describes it as "long non-coding RNA (SBIC_LNC011343)". Lineage: Eukaryota; Viridiplantae; Streptophyta; Magnoliopsida; Poales; Poaceae. The record is from RNAcentral.